Molecule: ribosomal RNA, 440 nt
Filed under: uncultured bacterium
Lineage: Bacteria
Description: partial 16S ribosomal RNA
Rfam family: Bacterial small subunit ribosomal RNA
Source: RNAcentral
CCUACGGGUGGCAGCAGUAGGGAAUAUUGCUCAAUGGGGGAAACCCUGAAGCAGCAACGCCGCGUGGAGGAUGAAGGUUUUCGGAUUGUAAACUCCUUUUGUUAGAGAAGAUAAUGACGGUAUCUAACGAAUAAGCACCGGCCAACUCCGUGCCAGCAGCCGCGGUAAUACGGAGGGUGCAAGCGUUACUCGGAAUCACUGGGCGUAAAGAGCGCGUAGGCGGGAUAGCAAGUCAGAGGUGAAAUCCUAUGGCUUAACCAUAGAACUGCAUUUGAAACUGUUAUUCUAGAGUAUGGGAGAGGUAGGUGGAAUUCUUGGUGUAGGGGUAAAAUCCGUAGAGAUCAAGAGGAAUACUCAUUGCGAAGGCGACCUGCUGGAACAUAACUGACGCUGAUGCGCGAAAGCGUGGGGAGCAAACAGGAUUAGAUACCCCAGUAGUC